UGGGGAAUAUUGCACAAUGGGCGCAAGCCUGAUGCAGCCAUGCCGCGUGUGUGAAGAAGGCCUUCGGGUUGUAAAGCACUUUCAGCGAGGAGGAAGGUGGUGAGCUUAAUACGCUCAUCAAUUGACGUUACUCGCAGAAGAAGCACCGGCUAACUCCGUGCCAGCAGCCGCGGUAAUACGGAGGGUGCAAGCGUUAAUCGGAAUUACUGGGCGUAAAGCGCACGCAGGCGGUUUGUCAAGUCAGAUGUGAAAUCCCCGGGCUCAACCUGGGAACUGCAUUUGAAACUGGCAAGCUAGAGUCUCGUAGAGGGGGGUAGAAUUUCCAGGUGUAGCGGUGAAAUGCGUAGAGAUCUGGAGGAAUACCGGUGGCGAAGGCGGCCCCCCUGGACGAAGACUGACGCUCAGGUGCGAAAGCGUGGGGCAGCAAACAGGAUUAGAUACCCUGGUAGUCCAGCGCUGUAAAACGAUGUCGAUUUGGAGGUUGUGCCCUUGAGGCGUGGCUUCCGGAGUUAACGCGUUAAAGUCGACCGCCUGGGGGAGUACGGCCGCAAGGUU
RNAcentral lists this ribosomal RNA (555 nucleotides) under uncultured bacterium. Its description in RNAcentral is "partial 16S ribosomal RNA". It matches the Rfam family "Bacterial small subunit ribosomal RNA", at positions 355 to 895 of the family's 1533-position model. The record is from RNAcentral.